CUCGUAGGCGGCCAACUAAGUCCGACGUGAAAUUCCCAGGCUUAACCUGGGAACUGCGUCGGAUACUGGAUGGCUUGAAUCCGGGAGAGGGAUGCGGAAUUCCAGGUGUAGCGGUGAAAUGCGUAGAUAUCUGGAGGAACACCGGUGGCGAAGGCGGCAUCCUGGACCGGCAUUGACGCUGAGGAGCGAAAGCCAGGGGAGCAAACG
This 207-nucleotide ribosomal RNA is filed under the name uncultured bacterium. Its description in RNAcentral is "partial 16S ribosomal RNA". It matches the Rfam family "Bacterial small subunit ribosomal RNA", at positions 568 to 774 of the family's 1533-position model. The record is from RNAcentral.